CUUUUUGCGAAUACAGACUAACACGGCUGCUACUCUGAAAACAGUAAUAUAAACAGCAGAUCUCUUUAUUUUAGAGUGCAUUACAUAUUACAGAGUGAACAUCAUUCUGUUACCCAAAGCAUGCUGUUUCUGCUGAUUUUCUUAAAUUGAGUGAAAUCUCUAGUUACACACUUAACAAAUCAGGUAUGUCUGUCAAACAAUAUUCAAAAAAACUGGACAGGUAUGAUGGUUGGUUUUGCAGGUGAGUGUACUUUGAAUAUUGAAAAAAUGGUAAACCAAUAUCUAGAGUAUUUUUGUCCUCUAUUUUGCUCAAUACAUAGUUGUUACAUUAAUUUUUCCACAAUCUCACAUUUUUCUGAGCCAUCCUGAGUUGCACUAUUUCUUUUUCCAAUGAGAGGCUCUCAGUAGGCUACCAGCUACUAGCAAAUAAGAGAUCAAUUCUUUCAUUGUGCAUAGUCAUUUCCAUCAUGAAGCCCCAGGAUUACCAAAGAAUCAUUUGGCAACAAAUAAUCCAAUAAUUUGUAAUAUUUGGUUAUAGACUGUAUCCAAGUACUCUGACUGGACACAUCCACUGUAUAUGCAUAAAAUCUUUCACCACAAUUUCUCCAACACUUUCCUCAUUCAUAUUUUAACCUAAGUGGUGUGAGGUACCACUGAAAUAGUAUCUUACAGAUAUUUUCUUUUAUCAUGCUAUAGUCUGAGUUUGCCGUGCCUCUUUUUCCAGAUCAAAUCCCAUUCUUUUCAGAUAAUCUGUCUAUCCAGAUCCUUUUCCAGUGUGUCCUAUGAACUUUUUUUUUUGGGUGGGGGCAGGGAGAAGGGGGUUAGGAAAGUUGUCUGCAAAAGUUGAUAAUUAAAGAAACAAAAAAACAGAAUUUGACCAGCUGGCAUCACUUCUAUUGAAGUUCACUUUUCCUCGAAAGUUGAGAAAAAAAAUGCCUAACUUGAUAGUAAUGAUUCAUAGAAUGGGCAAGUUAAAGUUAGAAAUGCUUCUUCACUGAAUAAAUGACCAGCCCUAUGUAGGCCAUGUUUCUCCUAAUAUCUUAAACUCUCUGGUUCAUGAUUUGGGUUAAGAUGUGAAUUAUUUGCAAUAGGUAUCACUAGUGAGGCAAAAGAACUUAUGUCAAGUUCUAUCCCAAACCCAGAGAGUAGCUUUUGCUAAAGGAUGUGUACAUACUUCUGGAGGGCAUGAUUUUUUAUUAGCCCCUAAUAGCCUAGCAAUAUUUAUACUGCAAUAAUUAUUUGGUUCAAUAAAGCUUGUGUUUUGCUGGGAAAACUGCUCCAAUGCAUUAUGGCUUUGAGAUGGUUAGCAUGAUGCAACAUUUGGAAAAGCUAGUCCAGCCUGCUUAAUAGGGGUGUACAAAGUAUCUGCACUCACUCAAGGUCUUUCCUUAUUCCAUAUAAAUGUUAACACCAUCCUCUGUGUUCGUGCUAGAAUUUUAUCUGGGACAAUCACAGAAAGAUUUAGAAACAAGAAAGAUAUCCUUGACAAAAUAUUUUUGACUGGGACUGUCCUUCCUAACCAAGAAAUUUGCAUACUUUCUCCACCAUGGCAGAUCUCAUUUUAUUUGACAAAGUAGGAAUUUACAUCUAAUUUCAUAGCAUUCUUCUAGAUUGAGAAUUGAGUUCUCAGAUAUCAUACAGACAGAGCUUCCCAUUUGUACCCAAAUGUUUUCUAGAGGAAAGACUUUUCAGAGUCUUGCACAUUUAUACCUAGGGUUUCAGAUUUGACCUCAUUUAAUUUGAAUCCAGAUGCUUUCCCAAAGUCCAGUAUUUCUUUAUAUACUAAUAUUAGGGAAAUGUUUGAGUUAGAUAAAAAUAUAUCAUCAAUAUACCUUCCCGGUUUAUUUAAUCUCCCACGUGCUGCUAGUUCCCUACAGAACCCAAUCAAAGCAAGUCCUAUGAAUUCUUGAUGAUCAUGCAUUUAACAUACUUCUCACAAAUAAGUCAAGAGUGAUUUCCUGCUUUAUAUUAAGGUGAAAAGUCUAUCCCUGCAUUGGCAGUGAUCUUUUCUAAUGGGCCCAUUAACCCAAAAAAAGGAUAAGACACUUAGGGUAAUCCUAAGUGGAGCUUUUGGGUGCUAACACAAAAACAACGAAAUUCUUUUGUCUUUGCCAUGAUCAUGUUUGAACUUAGGUGAUAGGAGACUAUAUGUACAUUGACAUGGGAGAAAACAAAAUGAUAAAGUUUGCAGAUGACACAAAAAUUUGCAGAGUGGUAAAUAAUGAAGACUACAGAGGUCACUGAUACAGAGCAACCUGAAUCGCUUGAUGAACUGAGUUCAAGCAAACAAUAUGCAUUUUAAUAUGGCUAAAUAUAAAUGUACACAUCUAGGAACAAAGAAUGUAGGCCAUACUUCUAGGAUGAGGGACUCUAUCCUGGGAAGCCAAGACUCUGAAAAA
Dermochelys coriacea (leatherback sea turtle) is the source of this 2399-nucleotide long non-coding RNA. RefSeq lists it as uncharacterized. The record is from RefSeq and is a predicted model, not a curated record. Lineage: Eukaryota; Metazoa; Chordata; Testudines; Dermochelyidae. The transcript has 3 exons.